Long non-coding RNA from Mauremys reevesii (Reeves's turtle), 2195 nucleotides. RefSeq lists it as uncharacterized. The transcript is spliced from 4 exons. The record is from RefSeq and is a predicted model, not a curated record. Lineage: Eukaryota; Metazoa; Chordata; Testudines; Geoemydidae.
GAUGGUGCGGAGUUGUAAGUGAAAAAAGAGGACAUUAGGACCAUAAAAAUGAAUGGAGCUGGGAGGGUUCAGUGUUCACUAUUGACUGUAGGAACAGACAAGUGUGGAAAUGAUGAAAGGGACAGAGUCAUGGAGAACUCUUGUCUUUAUUAGUAAAAAAAGAUGUGAUUUUGCACUGAAGAGAAACAGAUGUCAGGAAUGCGGUUGCAGAUGAGGAGGGAAGUGGCAGAGGGAAGCAGAGCAAGAUCCAGGGUGAUGCAGUGCUUGGCUCCUGGCAUAAUACCUGUGUAUAUUUCUCCAUCAAACAUGGCUACCAUAAGAAAUCCUUUAAAUCUCUACUUUUGCUACUGGGUGCAAAAGUACCCAGAUGCCAGUCACCCAUCAAUUUGCUCUUAGCUAUAACAGAGAUAAGGCAGGGUGAAGGUAGCAAGUGCUGAUAGAUGAGGGACAUCCCAGCAGAAAUGACUGCUUGGUGCUCCAACAAUGAAAAAUGGAGGUGGUAGCAAAAAGUAAAGGAUAGUGUGGGGGUAAAACAAGGAGAUCCCAGUUCCAUAGGGCAGGAGUAAACUAGUUUAAAGUCAUCCUUCCCUAUCAUCUUUUUCCCUUCCUCCCCACAGUUAGGUCUGAUUUUGUGUCACUAAAGCAAAUGGGAGUUUUGCAAUUGACUUCAAUGGGCACAGAAUCAAACCCUUUGUCUCCAUCUUUCCUUCCCCCUUCCUUGUUGUUGUUCCUCUCCUUGCCCCUUUCCCAUAUUUAUGCCCCUCCCUACUUGUUAAUAGCAGUGGCAGAGCAGCAAAGAAAAGAGAUCAGAAGAGAACAACUCAAAAGUUUCAAUCUUUAUUCUCCAAAUACUCCAUCUUCACUGCCAGGCAGAAAAACCACCUGGGAUGCAUUUUUUAUGUUUUUCACAGUCAUGUGCACUUUUUUCACACAUACUAGUUCCUAAGAAGGAAAGCACAUUCUUAGAGGGAAGACAGCGUGCUACCACCACCAGGACAAAAAGGAACACAUGAGAGAUACUUGGAGUCAAGAGUCCAGAUUGCCCUGAUGUUCUGUAUCUGGAGCACAACAUCCCAUUGAACUCUCUGAUGUUUUUCUGCCUAUCUGAUGGGGGAACUAUAUUGGUGACUGUGAGGGAGAUUCCAUUGUGCCUGCUAGGAAUAAUAAUCUUCUCAGCAACUUCACCACCAAACAGCUUGCUGUACCUGUACCUGCUGCCCUGUCACCAGCCUACCUGAUUGCAUCUCCUUAUUUCACAGAAGCCAGAAAAAAGGGAAAGUUUGCAGUGGUGAGGGAAUGUGGAACAGUUUUAAUUUUAAAAGAAACAGUUAAAUUAGAGAGAGUAAUUUGAUUGGAAAGACAUUAUUAUUUGUAUACUGCCUUCAGUGUACCUGGGUUGUUAAGCCUUAAAUGUCUAAGGUAGUAUAAAUAAUAAAGCUAAGAUUUUAAAGAGAUUGUCAAACCAAAUUUGACCCACAUUUGGGUUUUAUAAGAACAAGCUUUUUAAGAAAAUCUAAGAUCAAUAUAACUGUUUGGAUUUUUUUUAAAAAUCCAAUGAAAACAAACUAAACCCCAACUUUUUGCAACUGAAACACAAGGCUGAGUUAGUGCCUGAGAAGGUGAAAUUGACUAAUUUCAUCCUCCAAUCAGAGAAAUGAGAAAAAGUAAACAAACAAUACAUGGUGAAAAGUACAUUGAGAUGUUUUUAAAUGCCACCUUUAAUAACCUAAGAUUUUAUUUGUAACAUAAGAUAAAGACAUGGCAUGAAAUCCUCGCUCUAAUGAAAUCAGUGUCAAAACUUCCAUAUAUUUCAGUGGGCCCAGCAUUUCACACAUUAUUUUUUAAAAGGUUAUAUUUUAACAUCUGUGAAAUCAAUCCGUUGGGUGUGUUCUAGGGAGUGAGAUUUUUGACAUUGCAGGGACAAGAGAAGAUGUGAUUCCUUAUACUCAAAAGGGGUUAAGAAUGUUGGGCCCAGAGGACUAUAUGAAACUGUACACAGCUGGAGUAGUUCAAAUGGAUUGUGAUAGUGGGUACUUUUCGCAAUUCCCCAGCAAAAGGUGAUAUACUAUGGCUAUGUGACAUAUAUGUGACUGAAAUACAAUCAUUGUCAGAUAACUCUGAAACUAUAGAAAAUGAUGGUGAUCUCAAAGGUGGAUAGUCUUCAGAAUCCUGUAUGUUGAGGAUGGAUUCUCCUA